AUACGUAGGGGGCGAGCGUUGUCCGGAAUGAUUGGGCGUAAAGGGCGCGUAGGCGGCCCGGUAAGUCUGGAGUGAAAGUCCUGUUUUUAAGAUGGGAAUUGCUUUGGAUACUGUCGGGCUUGAGUGCAGGAGAGGUAAGUGGAAUUCCCAGUGUAGCGGUGAAAUGCGUAGAGAUUGGGAGGAACACCAGUGGCGAAGGCGACUUUCUGGACUUUAACUGACGCUGAGGCGCGAAAGGGUGGGGAGCAAACAGGAUUAGAUACCCUGGUAGCCCACACUGUAAACGAUGAAUGCUAGGUGUAGGGGGUAUCGACCCCUUCUGUGCCGCAGUCAACACAAUAAGCAUUCCGCCUGGGGAGUACGGCCUCAAGGUUGAAACUCAAAGGAAUUGGCGGGA
This 397-nucleotide ribosomal RNA is filed under the name uncultured bacterium. RNAcentral describes it as "partial 16S ribosomal RNA". It matches the Rfam family "Bacterial small subunit ribosomal RNA", at positions 523 to 918 of the family's 1533-position model. The record is from RNAcentral.